GGAGGGUGCAAGCGUUAUCCGGAUUUACUGGGUUUAAAGGGUGCGCAGGCGGAUAUGUAAGUCAGUGGUGAAAUCUCCAGGCUUAACCUGGAAAUUGCCGUUGAUACUAUAUAUCUUGAAUGCUGUGGAGGUAAGCGGAAUAUGUCAUGUAGCGGUGAAAUGCUUAGAUAUGACAUAGAACACCUAUUGCGAAGGCAGCUUACUACGCAGAUAUUGACGCUCAUGCACGAAAGCGUGGGGAUCAAACAGGAUUAGAUACCCUGGUAGUCCACGCCCUAAACGAUGAUUACUCGACAUACGCGAUACACAGUGUGUGUCUGAGCGAAAGCAUUAAGUAAUCCACCUGGGAAGUACGACCGCAAGGUUGAA
This 369-nucleotide ribosomal RNA is filed under the name uncultured bacterium. RNAcentral's name for it is "bacterial SSU rRNA". It matches the Rfam family "Bacterial small subunit ribosomal RNA", at positions 527 to 898 of the family's 1533-position model. The record is from RNAcentral.